CGCCAUGUUCGCAUCAAUUCACCAGAAUUGGAUGCUGGUAGCUGGGGAAAUAUUAAUCAACACGAUAUCGAUGUAGAACGCUAAGAUUGCGUUGAUCCACUAUUUUAAGGUUCCAAAGUGGCUUCAAAGGAAGUCCGAAAAAUCCAAAACUUGUUCGAAAACACCUACGGACAUUCCUGAUCAUGAAUCAACCUAAACAUCAACAUUUAAUGAAUGUAGACCUCACAAAAUAAGAUUGCCA
Molecule: long non-coding RNA, 241 nt
Filed under: Capsicum annuum
Lineage: Eukaryota; Viridiplantae; Streptophyta; Magnoliopsida; Solanales; Solanaceae
Description: long non-coding RNA (CANN_LNC012677)
Source: RNAcentral